GGAGUUGUGCCUGAACUAAAGGAUUACUUUGAUGGAGUAAAUCAUGAGGGUUAAAGCCCCUCCGCCUCCU
RNAcentral lists this transfer RNA (70 nucleotides) under Ecsenius bicolor (bicolor blenny). RNAcentral's name for it is "tRNA-Ile". The record is from RNAcentral. Lineage: Eukaryota; Metazoa; Chordata; Actinopteri; Blenniiformes; Blenniidae.